Molecule: long non-coding RNA, 559 nt
Organism: Drosophila sulfurigaster albostrigata
Lineage: Eukaryota; Metazoa; Arthropoda; Insecta; Diptera; Drosophilidae
Exons: 3
Source: RefSeq, a predicted model, not a curated record
UUGUAUUGUUUCUUAAUCUUAUAGUAAAUAUACAAGGCCCGAAACGCUUGCAAAGCCAACAAACUGAUACAGAACGGGGUUCUGUUGGGGUUCUUUUGGCUUUGCAAGCGCCACUGGAGCCUUGUGUUCGGUUUGGUGCAAAGAGCGGACCCAGAAUCUGAGGCAUCAUCUACAGCUACUGAUUAGAGCUGGAAAAACCUUGAUGUAACAUCGAUAAUAUAGAUGUUGCCAAAAAUGUUGCAACAUCGACAUUCGUCACUUGCAACCGGGUAAAAGAGGAAGCAUCAACGCGUGGUAAGAGUAAUUGGUGGUGUUGGCAGGCAUCGUGGGAGAAUUAUGGACACAUUUUUGAAAGAACAUCGAAAGUGUUUCUAUUGUCACCAUCGGCGUUUUCGGAACCACUGGAGUACGAAAUAGUGCAUACUUUUAAGGCUGAUCAUUCAAAGAACAUAAAAAAUCAAGAAAUCCGAAAAUUUUUGAAACGUAGCAGCUUUAUUGAUUUAUUUAUUGUUGGAAUAUUUAAAUUAGAAAGAAAUAUUAUAUAUUAUAUUAUUAAUGG